ACGUGAAGUAGGAAUCGCUAGUAAUCGCAGGUCAGCAUACUGCGGUGAAUACGUUCCCGGGCCUUGUACACACCGCCCGUCACACCAUGGAAGUUGGCCAUGCCCGAAGUCGUUACUCCAACCCUUGUGGAGGAGGACGCCGAAGGUGGGGCUAAUGACUGGGGUGAAGUCGUAACAAGGUAGCCGUACCGGAAGGUGCGGCUGGAUCACCUCCUAACAGGGAGACAACAAAAUGUUUAAUAUUAUUAUUUUGUCACCUUAGGUCGAUCGGUACCUCACAUUCUUAAUUCAUUAAGGAUUUCAUAUCCUAAGUUUUUCUAGGUCACACCCAUUAUUUUCCCUGGGCCAUUAGCUCAGGUGGUUAGAGCGCACCCCUGAUAAGGGUGAGGUCCCUGGUUCAAGUCCAGGAUGGCCCAUAUCUCUAUGUUGGGGGUAUAGCUCAGUUGGUAGAGCGCCUGCUUUGCAAGCAGGAUGUCAGCGGUUCGAGUCCGCUUACCUCCACUGAUUACCACCUCUUCCAUAAUUCGGAGUAAGGGAAUUUUUGAGUUGUGAUUAAAUUCUGAACGAAUCUAGCUUCCUAAUAAAAUUAUUAAGAUGCUGGACUCAUUGAAUUAUUUUCAUUGUUUUCAGAGAACCUUGACAACUGCAUAGAUUAUUUUUAAAGACAAUAAGCAUCUUUAAUGAUGCAGAUUUAUUAUUUGUGCAAAUGCAUUAAUAACAAUUCUAUUAAGCUGAUGCUUCUAAAUUUUAGAAGUUAUUGGUCAAGCUACAAAGGGCUCACGGAGGAUACCUAGGCACACAGAGGCGAUGAAGGACGUGGUUACCUGCGAUAAGUCUCGGGGAG
This 844-nucleotide unclassified non-coding RNA is filed under the name uncultured bacterium. Its description in RNAcentral is "partial contains 16S ribosomal RNA, 16S-23S ribosomal RNA intergenic spacer". The stretch from base 1 to 217 matches the Rfam family "Bacterial small subunit ribosomal RNA", at positions 1318 to 1533 of the family's 1533-position model. The record is from RNAcentral.